Molecule: ribosomal RNA, 198 nt
Filed under: Nyctiphanes environmental sample
Lineage: Eukaryota; Metazoa; Arthropoda; Malacostraca; Euphausiacea; Euphausiidae
Description: partial 16S ribosomal RNA
Source: RNAcentral
GUCUUUAUGUUUAUAUUUAAAGUCUGGCCUGCCCACUGAAAAUUUUAAAGGGCCGCGGUAUUUUGACCGUGCAAAGGUAGCAUAGUCAUUAGUCUUUUAAUUGGAGGCUUGUAUGAAGNUCNNACAAGGGACAAACUGUUUCAAUAGAAUUAAUUGAAUUUAACCUUUAAGUAAAAAGGCUUAAAUAUUUUAAAGUGA